This is a long non-coding RNA of Chrysemys picta bellii (western painted turtle), 1376 nucleotides long. RefSeq lists it as uncharacterized. The record is from RefSeq and is a predicted model, not a curated record. Lineage: Eukaryota; Metazoa; Chordata; Testudines; Emydidae.
UUAUGGGACCAACUUCUGUUGGUGAGAGAGACAAGCUUUCAAGCAACACGGAGCUCUUCUUCAGGUCACGGAAACUCACUCAGCGUGCAAAAAUGAACACUGUCUUCCUUGCGCACAGUUUAACAGUGCUGAGUCUCAUGAAUGGAUGGUUAAAAGGGAAAUAAGUCACCCAUGAAGUCCACAUUUAGAAUCCAUGAGAGCACAUUUGGAAUAUUUUGUGUUAAUUACUGAGUUAUGAUGUCCCACUAGCGCAGAUAUGAGAGUUGCAAUAAAUUCCUCUCUGGAGAGCACUGGACAGAAAAGAUACUAUGAACUGGAACUAAACUCAGGCAUCAGUCAAACAUCAGGCUACAAACAAUGGCAUUUCAGAGUCAUGUACUGUAUUACUGACAGUUAUCUUUCUGUAAUAUACACAGGUUUUUGGAAUGCAACCCACACAGUAGUCACUAUUUCCCCAGCCAGGAUUGUUGAGCCCGCCAUUCACCACCCUAAGAAUGAUAAUAUGCUAACAGAGUGUGUGCAGCACUCACCAAAACCCUGAGAGAUGACAGUCACCGGUGGCUUCCCAGGACACUAAAUAGGAAGAAGUAGUGACAUGACUCAGUAACACCAAGAGCCACAUUGUGAGAGUUGAAAACUGCGUGGGGCAUGCAAUGAAAGCAGCGAAGCAGCAGGGGCAACACUAUCUAUGGACAAGGACAGUUAGAUUACAGAUUUAACACACACACAAAAUUACGCAGCAACAGCGAGAUGGCUGGAAACCUUGGAAAACCACCAACUGAACAGAACGUCAGUGUUUGGAGAGUCCUGUUUGGGAGCUGGCCACAGAUAGCGUGCAGUAAACUGUUGCCAGACGUGUUGCUUAUUGAUUUUUUCUGAAGAGCCCAUUUGAACUGGAUGUGCAUUCUGAAUCCCCAAUGAGAGUCCCAGCUGGAGGAGGCAAUUCUGGAGGCACUAUACAUAUUACACUUUAGGACUCCAGGGACCGGGAUAGGUUUUUACAAGCAGCUAAAAUGAAGAAAGAGAUCAUAUGGGAAGGUGCUAGGCUCCUAUCGUUUCCGGACAUAAGUCCUAUAACCCAGGGCAAAAGGGAAGAAUUAACUGUGGUUUUAAAAAAAAAAAAGUUGUGAUAUAAAAUGUGUCUGCAUGAGUCUCUCUAGCCUGCCAAACGGCACAUUGUGCACAGUGAGAAAACUGACAUCUUUCAGAAAGUAGACGCAGCUUACAACAAGUCACUGUCGAAAGCAAAGAAGACAAGAGAGAAACUGUAAGAAGUUAGUCAGAGACUAAGGCCUGUGAUUUACCGCCCACCCCAGGGCUUGGAGUGCUGAAACUCUCCCUAUAAAUUAUAAAUGUAUAUAAAUUAAUAAAUGAAC